CACUCAUCAGGCAGCAUUCUGAUAGCAACAUAGAUUCAGUUAGAAGUGUGUUGACUUGGCUGUCCGGGAUCGAUUAGGCUCAACUCCAUAUCAUGAGUUGCAGACCAACCAGGUUCAUAUGUUUCAAGAAAUCCAAUCUUAGCCUUAUUUGGGAGAUCAUGUGGGUGAACAAAUGGAACUCCCGGUGGCCAUCCAAUUUCCAUUCUUAUGUUCGUACAUGGGCUAUCAAGUGACUGGAUGUGACUUUCACAAUCCUUUAAGGUGCAGAACCUCAGCUUAAUGCCCUUUUUAUCAGCUAUGUCUUGAACUCUCUCUUUGAGAACUCCAUCCAAUUUCCAUUCUUAUGUUCGUACAUGGGCUAUCAAGUGACUGGAUGUGACUUUCACAAUCCUUUAAGGUGCAGAACCUCAGCUUAAUGCCCUUUUUAUCAGCUAUGUCUUGAACUCUCUCUUUGAGAACUCUUUGUGCCUCCAAUCUCAACCUCUUUGAAGGUGGAAGAG
This 500-nucleotide unclassified non-coding RNA is filed under the name Hevea brasiliensis (rubber tree). The record is from RNAcentral. Lineage: Eukaryota; Viridiplantae; Streptophyta; Magnoliopsida; Malpighiales; Euphorbiaceae.